CAGAUUUGAGAGAUUGUGCUCUGUACUUGUGCAAUCUAAUUGUGUCCUGUUAGAAAGGAGAUGUCCUGGGAAACUCAGAUUAAGAGGACAGAAGCCCAAAACUAAGCUGUACAGUCAAAAACGUCUAGCUGUUUCUUGUAGCAGAUUGUGCCAGUAAGCGUCACUGAAGAGUAAUUUCAAGGGCUGGUGAAAAUAUAAGAUAAAACACUGAUUACAGGAUGACAGGUUUUCUCUGCUCAACAAUCUUUGAAUUAUUCAGAAAACUUUGCUUCCAGAGUGGUAUAUUAAUAAUACACCUAAGCAAAUAUUUUGUUGCUUAAGCUGAAAGGCAUUUUCUCCUUGAAGGGAAAGCUUCUGAAGAUGGCAGUAGAUUAACAUACCCAAAUAUCUUGAUAUCCUCAAUAGGAAGAAAGUCAAGUUAAGUUUCCUGAUCUAAAGAGUCCAGGAAAUUAAAUUCUCUCUAUGUUCUGUUUCUGAAGUACUGCAGAAACUGCUCAAGAUGGAAGGAUACCAGAGAAGAAAAACAUUGCUCAAUGUUUAAAACUUAUUUUAUUUUUUGAAAAAAGAAACAUAAUAACUUAGUCCAAAAUCAAACAACAUAAAAAGUAUACAUUGAAAAGUUUAUCCUCACCCUAUCUACUUCCAGCAAUUUCCUUCCAAUUCUAUCUGUAGUAUUUUUUCAUUUUUCUUCUUGUUUUUUUUAAAUAAAAUAAAAUAAAAU
This 721-nucleotide long non-coding RNA is filed under the name Homo sapiens (human). RNAcentral describes it as "HSALNT0197106". Lineage: Eukaryota; Metazoa; Chordata; Mammalia; Primates; Hominidae. The record is from RNAcentral.